GACGAACGCUGGCGGCGUGCUUAACACAUGCAAGUCGAACGAAGUGGCGAACGGGGGAGUAAUACGUGAGUAACCUGCCCUCCUUUCUUGGAUAAGCCUUGGAAACGGGGCCUAAUACCGUAUCAAGGGGAGGGGGUCGCGGGCUAUCAGCUUGUUGGUGGGGUGUUGGUCUUCCCAGGCGGUGGCGGGUAGCCGGCCUGAGAGGGUGACCGGCGACAUUGGGACUGAGGUACGGCCCAGACGCCUACGGGGGGGAGCGGUGGGGGGUAUUUUGCAAUGGGCGAGAGCGUGAUGCAGCGAGGCCGCGUGGGGGAUGAAGGCUUUCGGGGUUUAAACCUCUUUCUCGAUAGAACGGGUAGGUGGAGAAGAAGCGCCGGCUAACUACGGGCCAGCCGCCGCGGUAAUAC
RNAcentral lists this ribosomal RNA (407 nucleotides) under uncultured bacterium. RNAcentral describes it as "partial 16S ribosomal RNA". It matches the Rfam family "Bacterial small subunit ribosomal RNA", at positions 28 to 526 of the family's 1533-position model. The record is from RNAcentral.